AUGUCUUACUUUUUGCGAUCACACGCAAUCAAUACAA
RNAcentral lists this ribosomal RNA (37 nucleotides) under Russula mistiformis. RNAcentral describes it as "partial 5.8S ribosomal RNA". The record is from RNAcentral. Lineage: Eukaryota; Fungi; Basidiomycota; Agaricomycetes; Russulales; Russulaceae.